RNAcentral lists this unclassified non-coding RNA (219 nucleotides) under Hevea brasiliensis (rubber tree). The record is from RNAcentral. Lineage: Eukaryota; Viridiplantae; Streptophyta; Magnoliopsida; Malpighiales; Euphorbiaceae.
AACGGGUCAGUAAGGGACCGGGCUCUCGAACUAGAGCUUCGGGGCAACUGGGUUUUCUUCGACCCGGAAUUAUUCGGGUACCGUAACGAAGCCGACCGAUCAAACGGCAAUGAACCGGAGCCGUUCUGUUGCUGAUGCUGCCUGAAAAGAAUGGCGGCAGCCAAAGCCUGCUCCUGAAUCGAAGAAUCAGUGCUGUCUUUGCGCGUGGACCGGAUCCGA